RNAcentral lists this ribosomal RNA (316 nucleotides) under Segatella copri. RNAcentral describes it as "bacterial SSU rRNA". It matches the Rfam family "Bacterial small subunit ribosomal RNA", at positions 1 to 306 of the family's 1533-position model. Lineage: Bacteria; Pseudomonadati; Bacteroidota; Bacteroidia; Bacteroidales; Prevotellaceae. The record is from RNAcentral.
ACAAUGGAGAGUUUGAUCCUGGCUCAGGAUGAACGCUAGCUACAGGCUUAACACAUGCAAGUCGAGGGGAAACGAUAGAGAAAGCUUGCUUUUUCUAGGCGUCGACCGGCGCACGGGUGAGUAACGCGUAUCCAAUCUGCCCACCACUUGGGGAUAACCUUGCGAAAGUAAGACUAAUACCCAAUGACGUCCAUAGAAGACAUCUGAAAUGGAUUAAAGAUUUAUCGGUGAUGGAUGGGGAUGCGUCUGAUUAGCUUGUUGGCGGGGUAACGGCCCACCAAGGCGACGAUCAGUAGGGGUUCUGAGAGGAAGGUCC